RNAcentral lists this transfer RNA (63 nucleotides) under Penenirmus auritus. RNAcentral's name for it is "tRNA-Val". The record is from RNAcentral. Lineage: Eukaryota; Metazoa; Arthropoda; Insecta; Psocodea; Philopteridae.
AUUGGCAUAGUUUAUGGAAAAAAUUCCUUCCUUACAAGAAGGGGAACCUUGAAGGUGCUAAUU